Molecule: ribosomal RNA, 445 nt
Filed under: uncultured bacterium
Lineage: Bacteria
Description: SSU rRNA
Rfam family: Bacterial small subunit ribosomal RNA
Source: RNAcentral
AGAGCGAACGCUGGCGGCAGGCCUAACACAUGCAAGUCGAGCGCCCCGCAAGGGGAGCGGCAGACGGGAGAGUAACACGUGGGAACGUACCCUUUGGUUCGGAACAACACAGGGAAACUUGUGCUAAUACCGGAUAAGCCCUUACGGGGAAAGAUUUAUUGCCAAAGGAUCGGCCCGCGUCUGAUUAGCUUGUUGGUGAGGUAACGGCUCACCAAGGCUACGAUCAGUAGCUGGUCUGAGAGGAUGAUCAGCCUCACUGGGACUGAGACACGGCCCAGACUCCUACGGGAGGCAGCAGUGGGGAAUAUUGGACAAUGGGCGCAAGCCUGAUCCAGCCAUGCCGCGUGGAUGAUGAAGGCCCUAGGGUUGUAAAGUCCUUUCGACGGGAAGAUAAGUGACGGUACCCGUAGAAGAACGCCCCGGCUAACUUCGUGCCAGCAGCCGC